GAUGUAUCGAUCAGAUACAUUACUUUACACGAUAUAUUGAUCGAAUACAUCACUUUACUCAAUAUAUCGGGACUUACACGAUGUAUCAAAAUAUUGAGUAAUGUAUUCAAAAUCGAGACGCGAUAUAUUGGGACGUUGAGCUACGUAUCUGAAAUCGAGAUGCGGUGGAUCGAGAGAUUGAACGAUGUAUCCAAAAUCGAGAUGUGAUGUAUUAUGACGUUUUGAAAUGUAUUCAAAUUCACCAAUAUUAUGAGAGUUUUGUAGCUUGGAAUAUAAUAGGAAUAUGGUGCAAAGAUUUGUGUAAAAUUUCAAUUUGCUAAUAGUACUAUUGAGAUAUCUCAGCAUAAUUAAUACAAGCAUAAUUAAUAUAAACAUUAUUAUAUAUAUUACUCAAUAAUAUUUUUAUACACAUAUCAAACAACCCCCUACAUGUUACACACACAUUAAUAUUAGAUUUAGUGUAUAAACUAAUGCAAGUUAUAUAUUGUUCGAAAUGAUAUAUUGUAACAUAAUUAGUAAUACUAUUUUAUUUUUUCGAAUCCAUGAACCACAUCUUUCUUGAUUUUCAAUAAAAAAAAUUGUUCUUUGGUACUUUUUUUUUUUAUCAAUAUGAGGCUAUUGAAUUGUUGACAAGGGAGUGCAUACAAGGUGUUUGAUGAAAUUACUGAACCGUGUGUUAUCUAGUAUAAAUGUGAUGUUUGAUGCUUGUUGGGAAAAUGGAGAUAUGGGUUUGGGGUUCUUGAUGUUUUAUUGCAUGCUUAUUGUGAUGUUAGUAUGAUUUAUGGGUACAUGAAGAACAGGUGCUCUGAGGUUGCUGUUAAGUUCUUUUGAGAAAAUGAAGGUACAUGAGGAUAUGAAGUGUGGUUUAUUGAAGUCAAAUGAGGCUGCUUUUGUUAGUAUUCUUAGUUCCUGCACGUGUUUGGAUGUCGGCGUGGCAUGGCGUUAUAUCUAGGGAGGCAAGUACAUGGUAAGGAAUGAGGCAGGUAGAUUAAUCGCGUUUUAUGGGAAGAUGGGUUGUUUAGUAUAUGCUUUGAAGGUAUUUGAUGUGAUGGUUAGUUAGUAGGUUUGAGCUUGGAAUGGUAUGGUUUCUUCCUUAGCUUUGAAUGGUAGGGAGAAGCAAGCAUUAACAUGUAUGCGAAGAUGAGAUCAAAGGGUCUGCAAAGUGGCAGUUCUAUCAGCUUGUGUGUGUCAGGCUUGUCGAUUUCGGUUUUCAAUUGUUUGAAGCAAUGUCACGUGAAUUUGGAUUUGUUGCUAGAAUGGAACAUUAUGGUUGUGUGGUUUAUCUAUCAGGGAGAGUCGGGCUACUGCAGGAAGCGUACGACUUCAUAAAGAAGAUGCCUUUUGAAGCUGAUGCUACUGUAUUGGGUGCUUUGUGGGUGCUUGUAGACUUCAUGGAGCUAUUGAGAGGGAAAUGAAGUAGCUCAACCAUUGCUUAAGUCCCAACCGAAUCAUUCAGGGCGAUAUGUGCAUUCUCAAGCAUUUAUGCUGGCGCAGAGAGGUGGAAUCACGCCGUUUCCUUAAGAAAAGCAAUGUUAGAUGCUGGAAUACAGAAGGUUCCAGCCCACAGUUUUAUUUAGUAGAGAUGAUAGCUGUAGCAGCUUUUAUUUGCAAAAUUGUCAAUGAGCUUACUUGGUGAUGAUAUCUCGACUCAGCUAAAAGGAUCCUUUAUAUUGGUUUUGCACAGAGACUGAAGCACUGCUUAAAGAAAGUUGAUGUCAUAGCUUGACUGAUCAAGGAGGACAUGUUUUUUGUGAAAAUGCACAGCAAACCUGGUUCCAAAGUCUGCUUGGCGAGGAACUGUUUCUCUUCUUCUCUUUUUCAAACUUCUUCUCACUGGAAUACACAUGUAUAUGAUAACUGCGACAGAAUACCUACCUUGAUGUUAUGUCGGUUGGAUGUAUGAACAAAGAAGAUCGAUAUGAGGCAUUUAGCAGGAAACAGUGCAUGUUUUUCACAAAAACCAAGUCGAUGAGCAGAUUUUGGCAUGAUGCUUCUGUGGCUGUGCAAUCCAGAUCAUUUGGUGGUGCUUGAGCAUGUUGUUUCCAAUCUUCUAUUGAUGUAUUUGAUGCGAUGGAGCAAAUUUGCAUAUGGAAUGUUCUAUCAGCUUGUGCGUGUGCCAAGCUUAUCGAUUUGCGGUUCUAAUUGUUUGAAGCAAUGUCACAUGAAUGCGGACUUGUAGCUAAGAUGAAACAUUGUGGCUAGCUGUGUCGAUGAGCCUGCAUCAUGAUGAAGUCAUGACUCACCUCUGCUAUUUUGGUCGUCGUUAGUAUCCAAGGUUUUUUCUCCAACUUUUCAACUGCUACACUAACUCUAUUGUUGUCAUAGUUAUUCAAGUUAUUCUAUUUCAAAGUACGCGAUAACUUGGAAUUGUUUUAGUA
Molecule: non-coding RNA, 2378 nt
Organism: Solanum lycopersicum (tomato)
Lineage: Eukaryota; Viridiplantae; Streptophyta; Magnoliopsida; Solanales; Solanaceae
Source: RefSeq, a predicted model, not a curated record